Long non-coding RNA from Bos taurus (domestic cattle), 754 nucleotides. Lineage: Eukaryota; Metazoa; Chordata; Mammalia; Artiodactyla; Bovidae. The record is from Ensembl.
GCCAUUCUAUAUUUUAAAUGCCAGUUUUAAAUACAAAUAUCAUAGUAUUCACACACGGAAUUACACAAUACAGAAAUCACACAAUUUGUGAGUUAUGAUUUGCUCCGGGGGUGUCUUGAACUGUCCAGAAGAGGCAAACGCUAGAGAGACAGAGGAAGAUGAUAAAGAGGAAAGGAGCCCUCCCAAUCCACCCCCAAGCUCAGAGCCGGAGUACGCGGCGCUCCAGGGGCCAGCGGACACUCUCCUGGACGGCCCCGCAGGGCGCAUCCCUCCCGCAGGCAGGCAGCGAAGAAGGCCGGCGCCGGGCUGCUGGGUCCGGCUCCUGCCAGCUGCUGACCGCGGCGCCGCGUCCUCGCCGGGCGAAGCCUAGCGACUUCAGGUCAGGUGUCUCUCCUUCCCUAGGGCCCGCCGCCCACACCGGGGCAGAAAAGCGACUCCCAAUGGUAUGGAGACCUUCGCAUCGGUCCAGCUCUCGCCCCUGGACCCGGCUGCGAGGCAUGUGGGAUCCUAGCUCCAUGACCAGGGAUCGAACCCACACCCCCUGCACUGGAAGGCUAAGCCAAUGCUGGACUGCCAGGGAAGACUCUGCUGUUUCUUAUAAAGCUAAAGGGACAAUUACCAUUGGAGCCAGCAAUCCCAUUCCUAGGUGUUUACCUAAGAGAAAUAAGAUAUCGGUCCACACAAAGACUUGUAUGUGAAUGUUCUUAGCAGCUUUAUCACAGUAGCCCCAAAGUGGAAACAACUCAAAUGCCCC